CCCGGGUAUUUAUCAUGUUGGAACCAACCUCUUUUGGAUUCCGAAAGUGCCCCUGGAAAUUAUUUAGUGGUCCAACAUCAUAUUAAUUGGCCUUUUCAUUUAAAAAAAUAUGCCUGAACAAUUUCGUUGGCUCUAAAACUUUUUGAGCAACACCACAAUUUGGUGCAUGAAUUAUGUGCCAAGUUUCAUUCUUAACAACCUCCAUUUUUGUGCUCCAACUAUUUGCAAAACAGAAGAGGAAAAUAAGAAAAGGGAAAAGACAAAAAAGGAGAAAAGCAGAACCCCCUUUUUCCCCACCGGGCCUCAACCCCGUCGGCCCAGUCGGCCACGCUCACAGGCUGGCCCACCCAUCGCCUCCUUAUCCCCCCCACUCUCGUGACCUAAACCGCUGCCCCCCACUCCCCACGCACCCCCACUUCCCCGAUCCCCUUCUGGAUCGGGGCAAUGUCCCCGGUGACGACCCUAAUCACUGUCGCCAUCGCUGCCUCGACAUGCAGCACUCCAUCACCGGACCGCCGCCAUCGUCCUCAACCUCCUCCUCAUGGCCCUGUCCUCCUCCCCGUUCUGGAAGGGCACCCGACGGCGCCACCCGCCAUCCCGAUGUCGCAAUCGCAACUCCGGCCCGUCCCCGAGCAUGCUUUAGCACCUCUACAGGGCCUUGUGAGCCCUCAUCCCCUUCCCCUCCCCCUCCCGUCGCUGUAGGACGCCACCACUGAUGCGCCCGAACCUCUCCGUCCGCUCCCGCGCGCGUUGUCCCGCCUGCAGCCGCUGCCCGGCGGCGCCCGCACUUGCUGCUACUGAGGCACUGCUGCUGCCGUGCCUCGCGCACCUGCUGCUGCAUUUGCCGCGGCUCCCGGCCAUCCCGCCUCUCCGGUCCGAGCCAGCGCUCACCGCGUCCAACCGCCGUCCGGGAUCCCCUGCAGACGCCUCGCCGCUGUUCGCCAUCGCGGCCCGCACCUGCGCCCCUGGCCUUGUCUCCGGCCGCCGAUCAACUGCGCCACACCCCCUGGCCGCCCUUGCCCCUCGCCGGUGCAACCCCCCAGCCGCCUUGGCCUCGCCUCUGCCUUGCCCCGCGCCCGAGCGGGCUUCGGCCUCGACGGGCGCCAGCACCCGUCACCCGCGCGCCCGUUUAGCCUCAUGGGCCACUGACCACAGGGGCCCACACCCCCUUUUUUGUAAAAAAAGAUUUAUAAAUAAGUAAUAAUUAAUUAAUUAAUUAGGUAAAUAAUUAACCUAAUUAACUGUGAUUAAUUAGUCUAAUUAACUAAAUUAGUUAAUUUAACCAUGUUAAAUUAGUUAGGUCAAUGACAGAUGGGCCCCCUGCUCUGUUUGACCAGUCAACGCUCUAUUGAUUGCUGAGGUCAUGGUGACGUCAGGUUGACGUCAUAAUUCCCUUUCUGAUUUAAAAAUAAUUCCAGAAAUGCUUUUAUCUUUGAAAAAUCAUAUAAAAUAAACCGUAACUCGGAUGAAAAGUUUUCUGCAUGAAAGUUUCUCAGAACGACAAGACAAAUCUGAAUAUGCGAUCCGCUUGUCUGCCACAUGCCCCUAACUACCUAAACAUGCAACUUUUCCCCUCCGUUUCAUCUGUCCGAAAAUGCUAAACCUGGGGAAACAUUCCCGGAUGUUAUCCCCCUUCGCCGGUAACAUGUAGCACCGCGUUAGAACACGUCUAGCUCUGCCUGUUCUCCUGUUAUGCUCUUGCUUGCUAUGUAUUUACUGUUUCUCCCCCCUCUUCUCUCCGGUAGACCCCAAGACUGCCGCUAAUGCCGCCGUGUUCAACUACGUCGACGACGACCCCUUCUUCUUGUCUGAGCAACCAGGCAAGCCCCCCUUUGAUCAUCUCGAUAUCGCCCAUUCCGUUCUCUCAUGCUUGCAUUAGAUUUUGCUACUGUUAUUGUUUGCUCCUAUUCUGAUGCAUAGCCUGCUUAUUGCAACCUGCUAUUUGUUACCUACCUGCUUAUCCUAAACUGCUUAGUAUAGGUUGGUUAGAUACUUACGAGGCGUGGCCGGGCAUUCUUAGCCCUUGCCGCAAGUACUCGAGAUGGGGCGACGGGGUCACAUCGAUCGUGAGUCUCUGCUCGUUACCGCGUGCUCCUAAUCCACUAUGAUUUGGAUAUUUGAUCUGAGGGGCCUCUGGCCUGAUAGCACUAACCAUCACGUGGGCAUAGUAUGAGCGUUCUGCGUCGUAUACAUCAGCCGAAGCUUAAUAGACGUCAGGACUGAGCGGCGCGCGCCGGGUUGGACUAGUAAGCACCUACCUUAUUGAAUGAGGUAGCUAGGUCUGCUCACUGGCCGCGUACGCAACGUGUAGGAGUUCCCUGGGAGAUGGCCCAUGACCCCUGGGGGCAUAGGUUUAGUCCGGCGUGCUGGCCCCUCCAUUAAGCCUAGGUCGGGUUGCGGCUUAUUGUUUGGCCGAGGCCGGGCAUGACCCAGGAAAGUGUGUCCGGCCGGAGUUAAUCGAGCGUGGUGGGUAAGUUGGUGCACCCCUGUAGGGAAGAAAACAACUAUCGAUAGCCUGUUCUACGGUAACGGACACUUGGAGUUGUAUCCCGAUCGAUACAACUAGAACUGGAUACUUGUGAUGAGACUGGAUGGUGAUGAGUAAUGGAUUGUGAUGAUAACUAGAUAGUAUGGCUCUGGGAUUGCUUUCUCGCAGGGAAUCGAGAAAGGAUCUCUGGACGAGGUUGAUGACACUCCUACUACUUUACUUUUUGCUACUCUAUUCCUUCCUGUUGCUGCAAGAUGAUGGUUUCCAGAAGAUGCUAGUCUUCGAUAGGCUAGGCUUUCCCCUUCCCUUUUGGCAUUCUGCAGUUUAGUCCACAGAUACAACCCAUUCCUUUGAUACAGAUGCAUACUUAGUUUAGAUCUGACGUAAGUCUUGCAAGUACUUUGGAUGAGUACUCACGGUUGCUUUGCUACUUCUUUUUUCCCCAUACCCGAUUGUUGCGACCAGAUGACGGAUCCCAGGAGCCAGACGACGCCACUGAUGACUACUACCCAGAGGAUGCCUAAUACUACGUAAAGACCGCAGAUGACUAGGAGUAGUUAGGAGGCUCCCAGGCAGGAGGCCUUGCCUUUUCGAUCGUUGUUGCUUUUGUGCUAGCCUUCUUAAGGCAUACUUGUCUAACUCAUGUCUGUACUCAGAUAUUGUUGCUUCCGCUGACUCUUGUGUAUUCGAGCUUAUGUAUUCGAGCCCUCGACGCCCCUGGCUUGUAAUAUAAAGCUUGUAUUAUUUUUAAUUUGUGUCUAGAGUUGUGUUGUGAUAUCUUCCCGUGAGUCCUUGAUCUUGAUCGUACACAUUUGCGUGUAUGAUUAGUGUAUGAUUGAAUCGAGGGCGUCACAAGUUGGUAUUAGAGCCGACUGCCUGUAGGUAGACCCCUUUCCAACUACUUGGCCGAAGUUGAGUCUAGUCACUGAAAAAAAAACUUUUACUAACAUUGGCUGUGUGUCUUACGGGCCCUCGUCGCCAUUGGGUGGUAUUAGGAUCUUUUACUCCUCAUCUAUACUCCGGGACUCUGAUCUCUCUUCCAUUCGGGUUAAAAUAUUUUACUAACUCUAACUUUAGGUUCUCGUAACCACUUCCUACCGGAGAGCCCCUUCAGUCCAGAUGAUCGCUUGCUGCUUCAGAAGAUUUUGAAGAUACUCUUCGAUGUUUCCCUGAAACCCUUGUGCCCUUCGCUAUUGCAAUUCCAUAUCACCGAUAAAUCCCUCUCGAUAACUACAUACACCUGUCGUUCAUAUUGUCAUCCCCAGUUGAUCUUGUUAUUACAAGAUGCCUUGUAAUACUUUCAGGUAUUUCGAGAAUCCAUUGUGCCUGCUGCAUUGUAGCUCCUUUUCCGCCUGUAUAAGUGUAUGAAUAAUUCCUCACAAUUAUCAGGGAUUCAUUCAUCCCUAAUUGUUUAGAUAUUUCACAAAAGUCUUUGAAAUACCAUUCAAUCUUCCGAAAAUCCUCCGCAGCCUAUUGUUGUUGAAAUUGUUGUUUGCUUGCAUUAUGGUUAAUUCCAUAUUUCUAGCAUCUUCUUGUUUGAUCCAAUAUGUCGCGAAUGCUCGUAAUCCUCAAUCAGAUCCUAGCAUUCAUCCUUCCGGCUCAGAUGUCACUCCAAACAUGUGCUUGUUCUUGUCAAAUCAAACCUUGAUUGAUUGUCGAUCUGUAUCGAUUCAACUCAAUUAUCUUUUGGUUAGAGCCUCUGCUUCAGAUCUUCUGAUUUGAAAAUCGUAAUUCAUUUGUAUGCAAGCUUUGAAGUUAUCCAGUUAUAUCUAUAACCCGAUGCCUUUGCAUUCUUUCUUCUUCUGGAUGAGUAUCGAUACUCACAUCAGGUCUUUUAUGGACCGCCAUAUCCUUGGUUGGAUUAUUAUCCGACGAUGUCCUUCAUAUUCAUUAAACUUGUGAGUUUUGCCCUGACACAUAAUGCCUUUGGUAAAUUCUAUCAUCUGCUUUUGUCAACCAUGCUCUGCUUUCGAGCUGGUAUAUUUUAAUCCUGAAGUUAGUGGUAUAUGUUCCUAAGAUACCCCUACGGGUUGAACCUAUGCCUUCCCUAAUCUGUGUGAACUCAAAAGAGAUGUGAGUCUUACUCUUUUGGUGCUUCACCAGAUAAAUAUUUCGCACUACAAAUUCUUCGAAAUCGAGAAAUGAAUGAAAAUUUGUGUAUUGGAGAAGUGGGAGUCGACCUUGAACCUUGCGUUCAUGCCCAUGGACACGAUGCCGAUCUUAUCAUGGAAGCUUCUCGUAAAAAUAAUACCCCCUUGGUAUAAGUUCAUCUUAUAUCUGGGAUUUGGUUUUCUGUAAUCAUGGUUCCGGCCAUAUUGAUAUUCUUUGAUUCCUUUUCUCAGACAAGUUAAAGCACUUGUCUUCUACAGACCAAUGCAUCUCCGCAACCUCUAUUUAGAUCUUCCUUCGAGUAUUACCCUCUGGUAUCUCGAGAAUAACAAAGAACUGUGUUGCUUCUUAUGAGUCUUCAUCUAGUAUUGCGUCUAGCCGAUUUCAGAUUUCCCCGGGUUCCGAGUUAUUAGUCACUCGAGGACCCGAUAAGUGAAUCAAUUCCACACCUCGAUUCAAUAACUCUAAGUAAUUCUCGUUGCUUACGAGUUUAAUAAUCAUUCAAGUCAUUCCUAGCAUAAUCGGAUAUAUCAUUAUCAUGCUAAAUUUUAACUGUGCUACCCGACCCUUCUUCCUGGAGCACAACUUCCGACGACGAGCUAAGCUUACAUAGAUUUUUCCUCAUCUUGUCAUUUCACCUCAAACAACAAGCUUGAUUUCGAGCUCGUGUCGCAUCCAUGGUUCCAAUAACCUUCCGCUUCAUCAUUCCUUUUGUUUGAUGUCGUCACUGUUCGAUGGCCUCUUCAUAGUACCUCGACAAAAUCUGUCGUGAUCCCCAUCAGUAUACUGACCCGUUUCAGGAUAUCAAUCGAAUUCAUGAUGAGAAAUACAAUCCUUGCCCCUCGAUGAUUUAUGUUAUCAUACACAACAUUAUUGCCUUCCCGCCAACACAAACUUGUUCAUAUAAUUUUGGUAAUACAUCCUUUUUUUGACAUGUCGAUGGAUUGUUGCUGAGCCCGUCGGCCACACACUCAUCUUUCCUUGCUGAAAUUGUAUGACUUAUUUUCUAAGUUGUUUCCGAUGGAUCCUUUGUGUAUCUGAAGUCCAACCUUUCCCUGAUGACCAUGUCAACACUAUCCCGAAGCAUGUGUAUGGUACUCCGAUCAUCAACAAGAACAUUGGGAGCGCAAUGCUAACUGUUCUUGAUCAAUUAUCCAAACACCGUUGUAUGGGUAAACCUGAUAAGUUCCUUGCCCCUUUACCUAACGGUCUAAUACUUGGAGUCUAAUCAUGCUCUGCCUUUCCUUGGGAAAGAUACACUCUAAUACUUGGGUAUAAACAUCUUUCCUUUCCAUUGGUCUGAUUAUCAUAAUAAUCACAUUUUCCUUUCCAUUGUUUUGUUUAACCUUUCUGGUAAUCAAACUUGCCUGAGCAGAGAUAAUUCCCUGCUUAUGUAAACACCUCAGUGUACAAGCUCUGUCAGUAAGACCUUGUUACUAUUGUUGAUGACAUUCCGGUAACCACCGAUGGACGAGAACUUUGCCUAUUGGUCCGCCUUGUUUCAACAAGCAGGAAAAUGGUUCUCUUCGUCUCUCGCACUUGGUACCAACGUUGUUGCCAACAUAAUUAACAGACUAUCCUCUGACCUGCCUUACUGUCAUGACCAUGCAAAUGAUAGGACCCUUCCCGCUUUCAAGCCAAAUGGAGGGCCCAUAACCCAUAGUUUCACAGGAUCGAAACCUGACUCUCCUGUACAACCUUGAUGCCGAAAUAUUCUUUACACUUGGCUUCAUAUCAUGUCACGAGCCACCUUUCGAGAGAUGAUCUAUUCCCGAUGCUCUGAACCCCCUUUCUGACACUUUGUUCAAGUAUCAAUCGUUGUUCAUUCAGUUGAAACUUCCUAUUGUACCUUCAUACUUUGCUCUCGAUGUUUUAUUAAGUUUCAACUCGAGAGAUCCUUCGGCCUCAUUCCCUGAAUUGUUCACUAGAUAAUUAACCCUAUAAGGGUCAGUUCUCCCGAAGUUACUCUUUACUUCCGCACUUAAAUCUCGGGACGAGAUUUCUUGUAGUGGAGGAGAUUUGUAACACCCCUAGUGUCAUGCUACAGUAACCCCAUGUUAAUGGUGCUAUGUCAUCAUGUUACUGUUGCUAAUCCUCACUUGAUCCAAAUCACUGUUCAUAUUCAAACUCAAAUUUAAAGUCAAAAAUUCAAAUUUGCCAAACCUGAAAACUAAAAUGUUCAAAGUGUGGCAAAUAAUCCCCGGGUAUUUAUCAUGUUGGAACCAACCUCUUUUGGAUUCCGAAAGUGCCCCUGGAAAUUAUUUAGUGGUCCAACAUCAUAUUCAUUGGCCUUUUCAUUUUAAAAAAAUAUGCCUGAACAAUUUCGUUGACUCUAAAACUUUUUGAGCAACACCACAAUUUGGUCCAUGAAUUAUGUGCCAAGUUUCAUUCUUAACAACCUCCAUUUUUGUGCUCCAACUAUUUGCAAAACAGAAGAGGAAAAUAAGAAAAGGGAAAAGACAAAAAAA
Molecule: long non-coding RNA, 7065 nt
Filed under: Triticum aestivum (bread wheat)
Lineage: Eukaryota; Viridiplantae; Streptophyta; Magnoliopsida; Poales; Poaceae
Description: long non-coding RNA (TAES_LNC026017)
Source: RNAcentral